RNAcentral lists this small nuclear RNA (264 nucleotides) under Octodon degus (degu). Its description in RNAcentral is "7SK RNA (ENSODEG00000022995.1)". It matches the Rfam family "7SK RNA". Rfam says of the family: 7SK was discovered as an abundant small nuclear RNA in the mid-70s but a possible function has only recently been suggested. Two independent studies have found that 7SK RNA binds the CDK9/cyclin T complex (known as elongation factor P-TEFb). The record is from Rfam by way of RNAcentral. Lineage: Eukaryota; Metazoa; Chordata; Mammalia; Rodentia; Octodontidae.
AGAGGUGAUCUGGCUGUGACAUCUGUCACUGACUGAUCCCCAGGGUUGCUUUGGCUGAUCUGGCUGGCUGGUAGGUGUCCCCUUCCUCCCUCAACUCUCCAAGUGUGUCCCUCUUGAAGCUGUGUGCCUGAAGAGGACAACCUUUGACCUCAAGGUACGUGAUGCGUAGCUGUGCUUCCCCACUCAAGCCUCCAAACAAGUUCUCAGGCUUAACAUUAAUAACUCAUUUUUUCCUAGCGCCUAGCUGAGUCCAUGCUGCUCAAG